RNAcentral lists this ribosomal RNA (246 nucleotides) under uncultured bacterium. Its description in RNAcentral is "partial 16S ribosomal RNA". It matches the Rfam family "Bacterial small subunit ribosomal RNA", at positions 923 to 1172 of the family's 1533-position model. The record is from RNAcentral.
GCACAAGCAGUGGAGUAUGUGGUUUAAUUCGAAGCAACGCGAAGAACCUUACCAGGUCUUGACAUCCAACUAACGAAGUAGAGAUACAUUAGGUGCCCUUCGGGGAAAGUUGAGACAGGUGGUGCAUGGUUGUCGUCAGCUCGUGUCGUGAGAUGUUGGGUUAAGUCCCGCAACGAGCGCAACCCUUGCUAUUAGUUGCUACGCAAGAGCACUCUAAUAGGACUGCCGUUGACAAAACGGAGGAAG